UGGUGUAAGUGAUUCUUUGGCCUGCAAUGUCAUCAGCUAUUCGCAGCGAGGCUACUGAGUUUGACCGUAUGUUCUCUUGAUCCCUAGCUAUCCAGAUUCUUACUUUGUAUAUUGGCUAUAGUAGAUUCAAAUUCGCUGUUAAAGUAAGAUGCAUCUAGAUAAAAUUUAACGAUCUUGAUAGAAAAUGAGAAGUCCUAUGCAAUUAGCAAGACAGAGUUCAGAAAGUCUUCGAUCGAAGCAAAUAUGAAUACUGAAAAAUAAUUUGUACGAAAUUCAUAGAUAAACUCGAGUUGACCCAAUCUGGUAUGUGAUUGAUGAUAGGAUUUGACAAAUUUUUCAUGAUCUCCAUCUAGUCAGGAUUCAUGAUAGAAGAACUGAAUCACACAGUAACUGCACCUAAUUGUUCAAAUUUUUUUAUUCUACUAAGUUGUCACUACAUAGUGUUAGAUGUCAUUGAUAGAUUGUAAGAACUUACUAGAAUUAUUUUUGGAUUAACGAUCCUUAUUAGAUUGAGCUGGAAUUAUUCUGAUCCGUCGAAACAAGUUUUGAUGAUACUAUGAUAGAGAUCACAGUAUGUC
This 578-nucleotide long non-coding RNA is filed under the name Elaeis guineensis (African oil palm). Its description in RNAcentral is "long non-coding RNA (EGUI_LNC034132)". The record is from RNAcentral. Lineage: Eukaryota; Viridiplantae; Streptophyta; Magnoliopsida; Arecales; Arecaceae.